GAUCCUGGCUCAGGAUGAACGCUAGCUACAGGCUUAACACAUGCAAGUCGAGGGGCAGCGGGAUUGAAGCUUGCUUCAAUUGCCGGCGACCGGCGCACGGGUGAGUAACGCGUAUCCAACCUUCCGUACACUCAGGGAUAGCCUUUCGAAAGAAAGAUUAAUACCUGAUGGUAUGAUGAGAUUGCAUGAUAUCAUCAUUAAAGAUUUAUCGGUGUACGGAUGGGG
RNAcentral lists this ribosomal RNA (225 nucleotides) under uncultured bacterium. Its description in RNAcentral is "partial 16S ribosomal RNA". It matches the Rfam family "Bacterial small subunit ribosomal RNA", at positions 15 to 230 of the family's 1533-position model. The record is from RNAcentral.